Long non-coding RNA from Felis catus (domestic cat), 1390 nucleotides. RefSeq lists it as uncharacterized. The transcript is spliced from 2 exons. The record is from RefSeq and is a predicted model, not a curated record. NCBI's taxonomy places the organism in Eukaryota, Metazoa, Chordata, Mammalia, Carnivora, Felidae.
GCUAACUCGCCCAAGUCUCCCCUUCAUUACUCAGGCAGCAAAAGGUUGACGCUGCACGCAGUGGUUUCCUUUCGAUACCAAGCAUCCCUCCUGCCUUUUUCUGGUGGCAGUCGGAGCCUCGUCUCCCACACCCAGCCCACUGUCGGGAGCCAUCUCGGUCGCCUUCCUCACACGCGUCCCCAGACUCCCGCUCAGCAGAGUAAACUCCUCUCACAUCCUGCCCAGCACACCCCCUCGCACACACCAGCCCCACCCGCUUCGGAAGGCUGCCCCCUCCGCAGUGGGGACCGGCACCCUGUCACUCACGCACCCUGGGGCCCUACAGCCUGGCCCCGGCACAGCCACAAAUGGCCGGCUACGAGACAGCAGCCACACAGACACCCGGCUCCAGCAGCUGAGACACACACGCCCUUCCCCUUCUGUCACGGAGUGUUCAAGUUCAAGAAGGAAACAGGGUGGUCAAGGAGGCGGCAUGGAACUCUCACCUUAAAAUGAGCCCCACGACACCCGAUGGGAGUGCAGGUGGCAAGACAGAGGAGUGGAUGCUGUAUUAUGUUCUAUUUCCUACUUCACCAUCCUUAAUUCACUCUGAAUUCAGAAACAGAAAACCAAAAACAAAAAACAAGACCCAAAAAACAAACGUGAAGCAUGUAAGAGCUUCUGAGUUUGUGGUUUUGCUUCACGACCAAAAAACACCCAAAUGAAAAGUAGAUCCGUUCACUUAGUCCACCUGGUUGAUUAAAACAAACAAACUUCCCACUAAUUAGAGUGAUGUGACUUGAAUCUGUCAUUUUGAACAUAAAGCCUGAAGUAAAACCAACGACUGAAUUAAAAAUCAGUAAGCUGGCUGGGUGUCAGGAGACCGGGGUUCUAGUUGGAGCCUAAAUUUCUAAACACUGAAGCUCCAAAUAUCUACAUUCAGCGAUCCUCACGACUACCGUCUGAAUUACACGUGCUCGGCCGUCAGAACUGACCGGAUAAACAUCACGACGCGGCUUGUCCCAAGCACUGCACGGCAUACCGACGUUUAACGAAAAGAGAGAAACGAGGCUUCCAACUAGAGCCCUGUUAAACAACUCUCAGACUAUAAUAGCAGUGCCUUGAGCCAGAAUCUCGAUUUUCUACCCCACCGCUAAACCCCGCUGGCUCCCAGGUCUAAGCUAGUAAGUCCUCAUGGUUUUGGACCUGCGGUGAAGGCUAAAACUGAGUUCCAAAAAAAAAAAAAAAAAUCAACAGCUCUCUCCGCUCCUCCUCUUCAGGACCAACUGAGAUACAAGUUGGGGUGGGGGUGGGGGUGGUUCCUGUCCUGGGAAGCAGACAUCCUCAACGACAUUUACGGUUUGGGUCAUUCCCAUCACUUCUGAGAAGCAAGGCAGAUAAGGAAAAGCAA